UACUGAUGUACAAAUAAAAUCUCGCCUAUGAGCUUAAAACAAUAGGACGAGGCUGGUAGACGUGGCAUCUUGUCUCGUUAUUACUUGAUCUAGAGCUUUAUUUUGAUUGUUUAGACAAAGUGACCAUAAUAAUUAUAUAACAAUGCUUAUGUGAGGUAGAAUUCAUCUGGUUUACUGAUUUUCGCAUUUGAUAAAACUUUUCCAGCGCAAGUGAUUUCAACCUGUAACAAUAAAGACGCAGCCAUACUAAUAAUGCAUGGAGCUUAACCCAAGAGACAAAGAUAUUUUCCUCUAAACUCCUGACGUGUCCACAGUCUAGCUGACUGCUGACGUAUUGACCUGGUUUCGGUAUGGUUUGCGUGUUCUCAUCGCGUGUUUGGGAAUUCCCUGACCCACAUACGUCAAAAUUAGGCUGUAUGGUAAGGGAAGCAACUGGAAUAUUGCCGUGCGCUUCAGGUACCAAAUAAAAAUAGAAAAUAAAUAGCAGUAAAGCAUAUCCUUACAAUUCUAUGGGUUUAAAAAAAGUCGUAUUUUAAACGUAUUGUUUUUUAAAUAAACUGGAUUUCGAUUAUAAAUCUGAUUUCGUUCUUAUUACUUUUUUCUCUAUAAUUUUCCAUUGAUUGGAGUAUGCAUUUCAUGAUUUUCAUGAUUUGGUAGUGAAAAAAAAGCUACCGUUAGUAGUGAAAAAAACCCACUGAGGAUUUUUUUUUAGUAUAAUAAGUAAAGAAAAUUCAGACAUUCUUUUAGCACAUCAAACGGUUAAAAGUUACAACAAGAAAAUUCUAGAACAUUUAAAUUCUAGAUUUAAAAUUACGUGUUCGUUUUACCGUUAACGGUUAACGAAACCUCUUACGUCAGCAAUCACGAGAAGGAACAGCUAAUCUGCUGAGCUAAAAUUAGAUUCACGCAAUACCGAAAGGGGUUUCUUUGACCUACAUAGGCAAAGAGCCAUAGCGGGUUAUAGUAAAAAGCGUUACAGAGAAUUAACGCAUUUGUUAACAUUUCCAGCAACACUACAAUUUUAAAAAAACAAGUUAUCUUAAUUAGUCCAUAGAAUUCUCAUCAAAGUGGUAUCUGAAAUUAAAAAUGAAUCUAAUUUUUAAAAUUGUUCAAAAAUAGUUACAAGGGAGUUAAUCAUAUUAAUAUUAACAAUGCUUAUCUUAAAAUGAAAUAUAUUUAG
Physella acuta is the source of this 1180-nucleotide long non-coding RNA. RefSeq lists it as uncharacterized. The record is from RefSeq and is a predicted model, not a curated record. Lineage: Eukaryota; Metazoa; Mollusca; Gastropoda; Physidae.